This is a long non-coding RNA of Rhinolophus ferrumequinum (greater horseshoe bat), 693 nucleotides long. RefSeq lists it as uncharacterized. The transcript has 3 exons. Lineage: Eukaryota; Metazoa; Chordata; Mammalia; Chiroptera; Rhinolophidae. The record is from RefSeq and is a predicted model, not a curated record.
GGAGCAUGGAGCUCUAACUGCCUGAGCCACCGGGCUGGCCCUCUAGUUUUUUUUUUUUUCUUUCUGUUUCCUUUGUUUGCUUCUCCUUUGCCUUGUUCUCUUGGCGCUUUUGUUUUCUCUACUGUUGCAGCUCCUAAGGCAGCCCCUCAAGCUGCCGUUUCUUGAGGCUUCACUUAGGGGUUUGGUCGAAUCAAAAGAAACCUUAAUGUUGCAGGCCACAGCCUCGCCGUCAUAUGUGAGCUUUGUCCUGCGCAGGUGCUCUUGGCUGGCGUGAAGCCCAUGUACUCCAGAUGCCGGACCUACACCUCGAAGACCAAGUGCUCCUGGAAACUGAAGUGGAGCUGGAAGCUCUUCCGACCAUCUGGUAAAGGACUGUGAAAUGGCUAUGUGGCAGUGGCACUGGGAGAUGGAGUGUUGGAGGCACGUGACAAGAUUGCCUCUCCCUACUCUGUGAUCUUGGGCAUGUACGUGUGACUUGCUUUGACCCAAAAUAAAUGAGUGGGAGUUACAAGUGUCGCAUCCUGGGGACGCCUUUAAGAGCCGGUGUACUUUUCUUCUGCCACAACAAGGAGAUGGCUGCUCCAUCACCCUGGAUCCUGGAUUGAGGACCAUGUAGAGCACUCAGCUGACUCGUGAUGGAGAUGUAGCAUGAAUGAGCGAGAAAUAAACCUUUGUUGUUUUAAGUUCUUGAGA